RNAcentral lists this ribosomal RNA (603 nucleotides) under uncultured bacterium. RNAcentral describes it as "bacterial SSU rRNA". It matches the Rfam family "Bacterial small subunit ribosomal RNA", at positions 732 to 1336 of the family's 1533-position model. The record is from RNAcentral.
AAAUACCUGNAANGCUGAGGCNCGAAAAGCGUGGGGAGUCACACAGGAUUAGAUACCCUGGUAGUCCACGCUGUAAAACGUUGAUUACUCGAUGUGUGCGAUACACUGUACGCGUCUGAGCAAAAGCAUUAAGUAAUCCACCUGGGGAAUACGAUCGCAAGAUUGANACUCAAAGGAAUUGACGGGGGCCCGCACAAGCGGAGGAACAUGUGGUUUAAUUCGAUGAUACGCGAGGAACCUUACCUGGGCUUAAAUGCAGAAUGAUUUUCACCGAAAGGUGAAUUCCCUUCGGGGCAGACUGCAAGGUGCUGCAUGGUUGUCGUCAGCUCGUGCCGUGAGGUGUCGGGUUAAGUCCCAUAACGAGCGCAACCCCUAUUGUUAGUUGCCAGCGAGUAAUGUCGGGGACUCUAACGAAACUGCCGGUGUAAACCGUGAGGAAGGUGGGGAUGACGUCAAAUCAGCACGGCCCUUAUGUCCAGGGCUACACACGUGUUACAAUGGCCAGUACAGAGGGGUGCUACCUGGCAACAGGAUGCAAAUCUCGAAAGCUGGUCUUAGUUCGGAUCGGAGUCUGCAAUUCGACUUCGUGAAGCUGGAUUCGCU